GCCUACGGGGCGCAGCAGUGGGGAAUAUUGCACAAUGGGGGAAACCCUGAUGCAGCAACGCCGCGUGAGUGAAGAAGUAUUUCGGUAUGUAAAGCUCUAUCAGCAGGGAAGAGAAUGACGGUACCUGACUAAGAAGCCCCGGCUAACUACGUGCCAGCAGCCGCGGUAAUACGUAGGGGGCAAGCGUUAUCCGGAAUUACUGGGUGUAAAGGGAGCGUAGACGGUAAUGCAAGACUGGAGUGAAAGGCGGGGGGCCAAACCCCGGAAUGCGC
This 272-nucleotide ribosomal RNA is filed under the name uncultured bacterium. RNAcentral's name for it is "partial 16S ribosomal RNA". It matches the Rfam family "Bacterial small subunit ribosomal RNA", at positions 337 to 626 of the family's 1533-position model. The record is from RNAcentral.